ACGGAAGGCAGCAGUAGGGAAUCUUCGGCAAUGGGGGCAACCCUGACGGAGCAACGCCGCGUGAGUGAAGAAGGUUUUCGGAUCGUAGAGCUCUGUUGUAAGAGAAGAACGUGUGUGAGAGUGGAAAGUUCACACAGUGACGGUAACUUACCAGAAAGGGACGGCUAACUACGUGCCAGCAGCCGCGGUAAUACGUAGAUCCCGAGCGUUGUCCGGAUUUAUUGGGCGUAAAGCGAGCGCAGGCGGUUUAAUAAGUCAGAAGUUAAAGGCAGUGGCUUAACCAUUGUUCGCUUUGGAAACUGUUAGACUUGAGUGCAGAAGGGGAGAGUGGAAUUCCAUGUGUAGCGGUGAAAUGCGUAGAUAUAUGGAGGAACACCGGUGGCGAAAGCGGCUCUCUGGUCUGUAACUGACGCUGAGGCUCGAAAGCGUGGGGAGCAAACAGGAUUAGAUACCCUGGUA
RNAcentral lists this ribosomal RNA (459 nucleotides) under uncultured Streptococcus sp. RNAcentral describes it as "bacterial SSU rRNA". It matches the Rfam family "Bacterial small subunit ribosomal RNA", at positions 341 to 792 of the family's 1533-position model. Lineage: Bacteria; Bacillati; Bacillota; Bacilli; Lactobacillales; Streptococcaceae. The record is from RNAcentral.